RNAcentral lists this ribosomal RNA (1372 nucleotides) under uncultured bacterium. RNAcentral describes it as "bacterial SSU rRNA". It matches the Rfam family "Bacterial small subunit ribosomal RNA", at positions 28 to 1381 of the family's 1533-position model. The record is from RNAcentral.
GACGAACGCUGGCGGCGUGCCUAAUACAUGCAAGUAGAACGCUGAAGAGAAGAGCUUGCUCUUCUUGGAUGAGUUGCGAACGGGUGAGUAACGCGUAGGUAACCUGCCUGGUAGCGGGGGAUAACUAUUGGAAACGAUAGCUAAUACCGCAUAAAAUUGAUUAUUGCAUGAUAAUUAAUUGAAAGAUGCAAUUGCAUCACUACCAGAUGGACCUGCGUUGUAUUAGCUAGUUGGUGAGGUAACGGCUCACCAAGGCGACGAUACAUAGCCGACCUGAGAGGGUGAUCGGCCACACUGGGACUGAGACACGGCCCAGACUCCUACGGGAGGCAGCAGUAGGGAAUCUUCGGCAAUGGGGGGAACCCUGACCGAGCAACGCCGCGUGAGUGAAGAAGGUUUUCGGAUCGUAAAGCUCUGUUGUAAGAGAAGAACGGGUGUGAGAGUGGAAAGUUCACACUGUGACGGUAUCUUACCAGAAAGGGACGGCUAACUACGUGGCAGCAGCCGCGGUAAUACGUAGGUCCCCGAGCGUUGUCCGGGAUUUUUUGGGCGUAAAGCCGAGCGCAGCGGUUAAAAUAAGUCUGAAGUUAAAGGCUGUGGCUUAACCAUAGUAUGCUUUGGAAACUGUUUAACUUGAGUGCAGAAGGGGAGAGUGGAAUUCCAUGUGUAGCGGUGAAAUGCGUAGAUAUAUGGAGGAACACCGGUGGCGAAAGCGGCUCUCUGGUCUGUAACUGACGCUGAGGCUCGAAAGCGUGGGGAGCAAACAGGAUUAGAUACCCUGGUAGUCCACGCCGUAAACGAUGAGUGCUAGGUGUUAGGCCCUUUCCGGGGCUUAGUGCCGCAGCUAACGCAUUAAGCACUCCGCCUGGGGAGUACGACCGCAAGGUUGAAACUCAAAGGAAUUGACGGGGGCCCGCACAAGCGGUGGGGCAUGUGGUUUAAUUCGAAGCAACGCGAAGAACCUUACCAGGUCUUGACAUCCCUCUGACCGCUCUAGAGAUAGAGUUUUCCUUCGGGACAGAGGUGACAGGUGGUGCAUGGUUGUCGUCAGCUCGUGUCGUGAGAUGUUGGGUUAAGUCCCGCAACGAGCGCAACCCCUAUUGUUAGUUGCCAUCAUUCAGUUGGGCACUCUAGCGGGACUGCCGGUAAUAAACCGGAGGAAGGUGGGGAUGACGUCAAAUCAUCAUGCCCCUUAUGACCUGGGCUACACACGUGCUACAAUGGCUGGUACAACGAGUCGCAAGCCGGUGACGGCAAGCUAAUCUCUGAAAGCCAGUCUCAGUUCGGAUUGUAGGCUGCAACUCGCCUACAUGAAGUCGGAAUCGCUAGUAAUCGCGGAUCAGCACGCCGCGGUGAAUACGUUCCCGGGCCU